This 253-nucleotide ribosomal RNA is filed under the name uncultured bacterium. RNAcentral describes it as "partial 16S ribosomal RNA". It matches the Rfam family "Bacterial small subunit ribosomal RNA", at positions 524 to 776 of the family's 1533-position model. The record is from RNAcentral.
UACGGAGGGAGCUAGCGUUGUUCGGAAUUACUGGGCGUAAAGCGCGCGUAGGCGGCUUUGUAAGUUAGAGGUGAAAGCCCGGAGCUCAACUCCGGAAUUGCCUUUAAGACUGCAUCGCUAGAAUCCGGGAGAGGUGAGUGGAAUUCCGAGUGUAGAGGUGAAAUUCGUAGAUAUUCGGAAGAACACCAGUGGCGAAGGCGGCUCACUGGACCGGCAUUGACGCUGAGGUGCGAAAGCGUGGGGAGCAAACAGG